GCUGUAGCUCAGGGUAGAGCGACGGCAUUGCAUGCAGAAGGCUAGAGCAUGAGACUCUUAAUCUUAGGGUCAUGGGUUCGAGCCCCGCCGUGGGCA
Molecule: non-coding RNA, 96 nt
Organism: Podarcis lilfordi (Lilford's wall lizard)
Lineage: Eukaryota; Metazoa; Chordata; Lepidosauria; Squamata; Lacertidae
Source: the annotation of a GenBank genome assembly